RNAcentral lists this ribosomal RNA (497 nucleotides) under uncultured bacterium. RNAcentral describes it as "partial 16S ribosomal RNA". It matches the Rfam family "Bacterial small subunit ribosomal RNA", at positions 28 to 507 of the family's 1533-position model. The record is from RNAcentral.
GAUGAACGCUGGCGGCGUGCCUAAUACAUGCAAGUCGAGCGAACAGAUGAGAAGCUUGCUCCUCUGACGUUAGCGGCGGACGGGUGAGUACCACGUGGAUAACCUACCUAUAAGACUGGGAUAACUUCGGGAAACCGGAGCUAAUACCGGAUAAUAUAUUGAACCGCAUGGUUCAAUAGUGAAAGACGGUUUUGCUGUAACUUAUAGAUGGAUCCGCGCCGCAUUAGCUAGUUGGUAAGGUAACGGCUUACCAAGGCAACGAUGCGUAGCCGACCUGAGAGGGUGAUCGGCCACACUGGAACUGAGACACGGUCCAGACUCCUACGGGAGGCAGCAGUAGGGAAUCUUCCGCAAUGGGCGAAAGCCUGACGGAGCAACGCCGCGUGAGUGAUGAAGGUCUUCGGAUCGUAAAACUCUGUUAUUAGGGAAGAACAAAUGUGUAAGUAACUAUGCACGUCUUGACGGUACCUAAUCAGAAAGCCACGGCUAACUACGUG